GGUUAGAAAGCGAACUAUCGCCUCUAGUUUCGACCUAGAUCUUGGUGCAAAGCACCUCCAACCA
RNAcentral lists this transfer RNA (64 nucleotides) under Palaemon longirostris. RNAcentral's name for it is "tRNA-Arg". The record is from RNAcentral. Lineage: Eukaryota; Metazoa; Arthropoda; Malacostraca; Decapoda; Palaemonidae.